RNAcentral lists this ribosomal RNA (254 nucleotides) under uncultured prokaryote. Its description in RNAcentral is "partial 16S ribosomal RNA". It matches the Rfam family "Bacterial small subunit ribosomal RNA", at positions 521 to 774 of the family's 1533-position model. The record is from RNAcentral.
UAAUACGGAGGGGGCGAGCGUUAUUCGGAAUUAUUGGGCGUAAAGGGCGCGUAGGCGGCCCGGUAAGUCAAAGGUGAAAUCCCUCGGCUCAACUGAGGAAUUGCCUUUGAAACUGCCAGGCUCGAGGCCGGGAGGGGGUAGCGGAAUUCCCAGUGUAGCGGUGAAAUGCGUAGAUACUGGGAGGAACACCAGUGGCGAAGGCGGCUACCUGGACCGGUUCUGACGCUGAGGCGCGAAAGCGUGGGGAGCAAACA